GAUGAACGCUGGCGGCGUGCCUAAUACAUGCAAGUCGAGCGAACGGACGAGAAGCUUGCUUCUCUGAUGUUAGCGGCGGACGGGUGAGUAACACGUGGAUAACCUACCUAUAAGACUGGGAUAACUUCGGGAAACCGGAGCUAAUACCGGAUAAUAUUUUGAACCGCAUGGUUCAAAAGUGAAAGACGGUCUUGCUGUCACUUAUAGCUGGAUCCGGGCUGCAUUAGCUAGUUGGUAAGGUAACGGCUUACUAAGGCAACGAUGCGUUGCCGACCUGAGUGAGGGGUAGCCGACCUGGGAGCGGGAACGGCGACAAGGCGACUACGGGAGGCAGCAGUAGGGAAUGGUACGCAACAGGCGGGAGUCUGACGGAGCAACGCGGAGUCAGUGACGGCAGCCUUCGGUGCGUAAUGAUCUGUUAUGAGGGAAAAACAUAUUUGGAAUGUAACGAAGACAGAGUGACGGUACCUGGUCAGAAAGCAACGGCUAACUACGUG
This 497-nucleotide ribosomal RNA is filed under the name uncultured bacterium. RNAcentral describes it as "partial 16S ribosomal RNA". It matches the Rfam family "Bacterial small subunit ribosomal RNA", at positions 28 to 507 of the family's 1533-position model. The record is from RNAcentral.